Molecule: long non-coding RNA, 934 nt
Organism: Bombyx mori (domestic silkworm)
Lineage: Eukaryota; Metazoa; Arthropoda; Insecta; Lepidoptera; Bombycidae
Exons: 2
Source: RefSeq, a predicted model, not a curated record
UAACUAAUGGUAACUGAUUAGGCCAAAAAUCUAUAUACUAUAGGCAUAAAGUAACACUGUAUUCUCUAAGGAUGGUACCAAAAUAAAAUACAAAAAGAUACAGUCGUUGUGAAUUGAAAAUCUGACUUAUGCAACAUUUUGACAUAUUUUUUUAUACGAAAAUUUGGUUACCACGUAGCCACGUAUAAUAGUCAAAAUCUCCAAAAAGGGCAAUUAUUUUGACAACGACACACUAAAUCGGGAUACAUAUAAGAUUAUUGGGGCGGAUUUUCUUCCGGUGCCCAGGAGCGGCAUUGAGUUUUAGUCCGGCCCUGAUUAUAAUUAUAUAAUUUGUAAGCAAUGUGGAAUUGAUUUUAUUACCGAGCUGAAUAAAAGGGUAUUUGGAAUUACCGAGCUGAAUAAAAGGGUAUUUGGAAUUACCCAGAGAGUGCAGUUAUUAAUAGGAUUGAAAUCUGUAGUAGAAAGCAAAUGAUGUUUUUAUUUAAAGUUCUUUUUUUAAGUUUUGUAAGACCCAAUUAUUACCAGGUUUCUUGAAUCAAUACUGGCCAGAAUGCUAAUACAAUUUCUUGGUGUUACAAUACUUUUUUAGCAAAAAAGUAUAUACUUGAUACACGUUUGCGAACUACUUCUAAGAAAAAGGAAUAAUAUUGAAUAAUAAGAAAAUACAAGAAGAAUAAAAGUGUAAUAACUGAUCGUAAGGCAUAUUGUAAUGCUACACGGGAUGUUCAACCAUCUUGGUCAAGUGGUCAUCUGUUCCAGUUUGAAAAAUGGGAGUCUCUUAUACACUAUACAAGUGCGACUCAAACAUUGAUUCUCAAUGUGGAUGGCAGGCUAGUCUACAGUGAAAUUUGGAUUUUGUUUUCUUUUCUAUAUGUACUAUUAUUGAUUGGAUAUUAAAUAUGGUCCCAAAUUUGACUGACAAAAUACAUAAUAA